UGGCGCCCGAACAGGGACCUGGAAAUGAGGGACUCCGUGAGGAAGAGGACGCCAAAGGACGGUCGACCGCUAACGAAGACAAAAGAAAGUGAACUCUUCCAAUCAUCGCGGGAACCUGCCGCGUCAGAAUCGAAGGUAAGUGACGCGUCCGAAAUGGGACAAGAAUUAAGCCAACAUCAGAUCUAUGUAGGACAAUUAAAAGAGGCUUUAAAGAUACGAGGAGUAAAGGUUAAAGGUAAUGANNNNNNNNNNUUAAACAUAUUUCAGACACAGCUAACUUAUUUUUACAAUGUCAACAACUUAUUCAAAAAAAGGACUACUCCCUU
Regulatory RNA element from Chlorocebus sabaeus (green monkey), 326 nucleotides. It matches the Rfam family "Mason-Pfizer monkey virus packaging signal". Rfam says of the family: The packaging signal is located in the 5' UTR and is required for specific RNA encapsidation. The record is from Rfam. NCBI's taxonomy places the organism in Eukaryota, Metazoa, Chordata, Mammalia, Primates, Cercopithecidae.